AGUGUUCGUUGAACUGCUCUAAGAGAAGAUCAUCGAGCGAUGCCGGCUUCAACACUGGCUUGCCUUGUGUCAUUCAGUGUCGGUUUCGCAGCCGGAAUCUACUUCGAGCGGAACAUUAAGGUUGAGAGGAAGAACUCGAUUCAAGAAAAGUUUUCUAACAUGAUACGUUGAAGACACGGAGUGUCAGAGUCGAAGAAUUGCUCACCGCCACGGAUCCGGGAAACCACGGGGAUUUGAUGGCUGGAAGAGUUGUCACAAUAAAAGUUGUAGGCAG
Galendromus occidentalis (western predatory mite) is the source of this 274-nucleotide long non-coding RNA. RefSeq lists it as uncharacterized. NCBI's taxonomy places the organism in Eukaryota, Metazoa, Arthropoda, Arachnida, Mesostigmata, Phytoseiidae. The record is from RefSeq and is a predicted model, not a curated record. The transcript is spliced from 3 exons.